Molecule: non-coding RNA, 9862 nt
Organism: Aegilops tauschii subsp. strangulata
Lineage: Eukaryota; Viridiplantae; Streptophyta; Magnoliopsida; Poales; Poaceae
Source: RefSeq, a predicted model, not a curated record
GCUCGUCUUUUACCACACCGUAGACGGGCCCUUUCAUCAUCUGUAAAAAAAGAAGAAGAUGUGAAAACGAAAAACGCGUUGAUGUCUGCGUGAAAGGUGCUUACGUACUCGGCUCCGAGCCUCUCCUCUCCUCUCCUCUCUUCUCGUCCCCUCCCCUCCGCUGACCUUGCGCAGAAGCAGAGCCCCUCAUCCCAAAAGCAAACCCAACCCAACCGUGGCUCCGAGGGAAGCCUUCCUUCCUUCUUCCCUCUGCCCAGUGAUGGAUACAUGACAUCCAUCGGCGCGCCUGUCUGCCCACGGAUUCACAGAUCCAUCGGCGCCGCAUCUGUGGCAGAAACAACGGAUCUAUCCACUAUGCGCAGGCAGGCAGGCAGAAACAACGGAUCUAGCAUGCCUGAUGGCGAGCGAGUUGAGACGGGAACUUUGUUCUUAAUUCCGCUUUUACUCUUUCUCUAUAUAAUAUACUAUGUAUGUUUGGAAGAUCUUCAUCGCCCCAAGCGGAGCGGAGCUGAUCCCUUUGCUUGUUUGUCGUCGAUUGGUUGAUUUGAUUGAUUGUCGUGGUAUCCCAUCCCACAGAAAAAACGAGUUAUAAUUUGCUCUGCGUGAUUUCAGUAUGCUUUGCCAUCCCACAGAAAAUCAGAUUUGCAAUCUCUGUUUAAUUUUACAAGGCAGUCUCCUGUUUAAACUUUACAGAAUUUUAGCUCAACAUUUCAACAAAAUUUUACAGAAUUUCCUGCAGAUUGCAGAGACACUAAAGUCAGGCUUGUAAUCAUUUGUUGCUUCACGGCUUUGGAGCACCAUGUACGUACUAUAUAUGCUCCUGCCACUAGUCUUCCAUUCGACAGAGUCAUCGACCUACUUUGACUGAUGUUUAUCAGCAACCCAGUUAAUAAUACCGAGUUGAAUGUGAAUUCAUUCAUACCGAAUUUGUGCUCCACGAAGAUGUGUGGACGUGCAACCUCUUGUAAUGUCUGACUUUCAUGCUUCAUCAUGCAGAUGCGGUGUACAUUCAUCAUUCAGGAAGUGGUGUUUUAUUAUUGCAGCUCAUGACUAAACUAUUUCUAGUUGCCUUGCUCAUGUUUCAUCUCAUAAAACUAGAGGCAUGCUACACAGAUGAUGCAAUACUACCCGUUGGAAAUUAUCAUCUUCUCAUUCAAUAUUUAUAUGUUUGGUUUGUUGGUUGGCAAGACAGCACGCAAGAGAGGAGAGAUUCAUCUUUGCCUGGUGGCCUUUGGAGGACCUUGCAAACCGACCACAUGUUAAGUAAUCACCUCCCCUUUUUACUCUGUUGGUAUGAAUGAAUUUGGUUCCUGACUCAUGUACUAGUAUAUAUUCUCUUCUAGUUGGUCAUAUUAGGCGCUUCUAGUAAUUUCUUCAUUGUUUAAAAGUAGGACUCAAAUAAUAUGAUCUCACAUAUAAUCACUAGCCUCAAGCCUCAGCCGCUAACAAGAUUAUGUAACCUUAGAGGAUGGUAGCCCUCAUACAAUAGUUAAAAGCAGCCUCUCGGACCCCUUCUCUUGUUGAAGGACAAAAGCUACCGGUGUGGGCGCUUUUUUCAAGGACCUUGUUGCUUAGAUCAACAACAACCUCAGUUUUUUAGGAGUAGAUGCCACCGCAAAUUUAAAUUUUGUUAGCGCACACAGUUUUCAUUGGAUUCUUCACACCCGAUGGUACUAAAAAAGCAAAAAAAUUCUGGUGAAAAUAUGUGUUCAGUUCAGAUGUGGGUGCUCCGUAGCCUCAUUAGCUAAAAGAGGUUGAUGAGACCUGCUAAGAUCGGGUUAGUUUUGCACCUUAGCUGUAACUGUAAAAUAAACUGAGAGACGUACUAGAUGCAUAGAGAAAACUUGAGGAAUAUCCCAUGGAAGCUAGCUCCCAGAAAAAUCAGAGCUAUCCUAUCUCUGUUGUUUCCUAUGGGACUAUUUAACAGAGUGGGUGGGAAAUAGAUUUUGAGAAAGCGAUUCCUAUUUGGAUGCCAUCUAACAGUCAAUACAAACAUUGUACUCCCUCCGUUCCCUUCUAAAUGUAAGCAUUUUUAGAGAUUCCAAUACGGACUACAUAUGGAGCAAAUGAGUGAAUCUACACUCUUCUAAAAUAUGUCUCUGUACAUCCGUAUAUAGUCCGUAUUGAAAUCUCUAAAAAAGCUUAUAUUUAGGAACAGAGAGAUAAAAGAUUAAGCAUGUUAUUACUACGGCUACUACAACUUGUGGGUAAGCUCGUAGAUUUUCACCAAGUUAUGACCCUAGUUAAUGUUCAAAAAACAGGUUUGCGUAAGUGAAGCGGAAUGCCACAGCUAAGAGCCUAAGAGCAACUGAAGCAUUUUUUUUAAAUGGCCAGGAUUUGGCUGUUUUUGAAUAACAAGCACAGGAGAAUAUGAAACAUAGCAAACGGCUAAUUGAAAUAGCAUAUAAUAUGCAGUUCACACCAUAGCAAAUGUGCACCAGGUUCACACAGGAAGCAAAAUAAGUAAAUACCAACUAAAAUGCACUUCACACUGUAGCAAAUACACACCAGGUUUAGGCAUAUUGUAAUGAGAAGGAUAAAUUGCACAUGGCCAUCAUUGUGCAAGCAGCCAAGCAUUGUAGUUCAACAGCAGGCAAAUUCUAGAGUUUUAUUUGCUAAAUAGGGAAUAAAUGUAUGACCUGCAAAUAAUCAUAAAUAUCUUGAGCUCAAGCCAACAAUCAGAAAGAAUCCUGCAAGUAAAUUUCAUCACAAGUGGAUAGUAACAUUGCAUUGCAGGCAGGGCAAAAAAUUCAUCCAUCACAGGAGGAUCAAUGUAUUAAUACCAUGACAGAGAUAAGCAAAAUCCAGGGCAUUUAAUCAUCCAUCAAUCCCUCUCUCUCUUUGGUCGGUCUAUUGUAUGGGCUUGAAACGAGUGAGGCCGAGGCUGCCUCAUGGAUGAUUUCUCGGCCUUGAUCUUUUUGGCACCCGCCUUGGCUCGCUGCUUCCUCUCCUCCGCCUCCGCCUUUGGGGCCUUCCUCUCCUUGGCCCGCUGGAUCUUGCUGCGCGAGGCCUGCUGCGCCUCCCUCCUCUCGGCGGCGGCGAGGUCGCUCACCCGGCGCAGAUGGGGAUGUGCUUGUUGAUCCAUUCCUGCGACUCGUACCCGCGGAAGCUGCAGGUUCGGCAGACUCUGCCUAUUCUGUUUUCGUCAAGCGUUUCCCUCUCACCGUGGUCAUAUUCGUCCUUCUUCUUUGAUAAAUAUAAUAAUAAAACAAGUUGUCAAUGUUUUCUUUUUCUUUCGAGAAACUUUCAAUCUAUUCUAUUCAUCGUAGAACAUAUCACAAAUAACAAAAAUUACAACCAGGUCCAUGUACCACCCAACGGCGACUACAAGCGCUAAAGCAAGCCCAAAGCGUAUCGCCCCUUUCUCGUCGGAGCCGAACAAACUUUAAUGUAGUACACAGUUGGAGAAUAAUAAUGCUAAAGCCUUAGAGCAACUCUAGCAGACCCCGCAAAUCGCCUGACCCGCAGAAAUUCCGGCGAGUAGCCCGCAAACCGCACGCCCCGAGCAGUAUAAUUGCGGUUCCGCGACCCUUUUGCGAGUCCAAACCCUAUCCCCCCGCCGCCGCGAGCCACCCGAUUCCCCUUUCCCCUCUCCCAAUUUCUCGCCGCCGGCGACCACCCGCCCCGCCUCCAGCGGCAAUGUGGGGGCGAAUGUGGAGCUCCGGACGCGGCUCUGGCAGCAGAUCCGGCCGUGAGCGCGACCCAGAGCGCGAGCGGCGUGUCCGGUCGGACAGCGCGAGGAAGCGCGGCGCCCGGAGGUGGACUAACCAAGGGAUGUCGCCGCCGGCGAGCUUCAACCGCCACGAGACGGAGGAGUACGACCGCCGGCGCGCGUCCUUCUCCUCCGCGAGGUCCUACGCCAGAUCCUCCUCGUCCUCCGGCGCGGGCUUCCUCCCCAUGAAGAGGGAGUGGUCGGACGAGGAGGAGCCGGAGCCGCCGGCGCCGUUCGCCUUCGUCCCGGUGAAGGAGGAGCCCGAGGAGCCCACUCCGCUUGGCCGCCGCGGAGUCGUCGGGCCCGAGGACUGCGUCGCGGAGGACUUCGACGCCGUUGCUGCCGCCAUCGCCGAGCGGAGCAUGCGCGAGGAGGAGGAGCGCCGCCGCCACGCCCAGCAGCUCGAAGCCCUCGAGUGGCAGCAGGCGGUCGCCGCCAACAAGAAGGCUGAGGAGUGGCGCCGCAUCCGCGCGGAGCAGGCGGCGAAGUAUGUCGACCUGUGCAGCUCCUGCGAGGAGGAUUGAGCAUCCGGCUCCUCCACGGCGUCGUCCAGUUGCCGCGACCUCGCCACCGUCAGAUCCAACCCCUCUGCUACUAGUUUAACGUAGUAUGUAGUAUAAACUAUGCUUGUAGUUUGUUGAUCAAGUGAUGAACUAUGUUAGUGCAAUUUCUCCCGCGAAAGUGUUUUUUUAAAUUAUGCAGGUUUUGAUACGGGUUCUGUUCGGCCGCGCAUGUUUUCGACCUGCAAACGCAAUCUUCGUGAAACCGCAAACGCGUUUUGCGGGUCAAAUUUAUAUUUUUCAUUAUAAAAAUAUUAGAAUAAAAAUUUAAAUAUGAUGCGAUACAAAAAAAAUACUAUUCAUCAUAAAUAGUACAGUGAGUGUCAUCCUAAUUUUAAUAAACUGUAAGCUCACAUGUAAAUCACUUGCUGAUGAUUAUUCUCGGGAAUUUACCAUUUAGGGCAUGUUGCAUUUCUGUCGUCAUGAUAUAACAAUGGGCCAAAUCAUUAUAAGAAAAUAUGUUGCAUUUCUCUCACAGCUAACAACCACUUUCUUCUAAAAAAUGCAAACAACCACUUUUUGGUCCCGAGCUCCUCUACCCCACCACCGCGCGUCGAUUCCGGCAACACCGUCGUCGUCCCUUCACGUGCUGGUCGUCCCUGUGAAUCAAGAGCUCACAUACAUAGGAGGGGAGAUGGAACGAUUUUUUGUGCAACAUGCCUCUUGUGUUGACCCUAUCAUGGAGCAGCAGCCAAAAGAAGAUUUUAUAUCUCAACAUAACAGCAGCAGACCAAAUCUUCUUAAAAACUGGGCACAUACUGGCUUGAUGAAACAUUGCUCCAUGCAAUGAGGGCAGGACCAGCACCUUCUUGACCAUACUCACAGGGGCAAGUGAAAAAGAUCCUGGAAAGUGGUGUAGUCCGCAGGUUCUUUAAUUGAGAGCAGUUCAUCCUUUGCAAAAGAGAACAAGUGUGGGAAUUUCAGUUUGAGUGUAGUGGGGCCCCAUUUAUCAUGCCAAAAUAGAACCGAAGAACCUUGCCCUACUGUGCAAUGUGCCAUAUCUUUCAAAGUGGAGAGGAGUUUGAUGAUGGACUUCCACCAGAAAGAACCAACAGGUCUGCCAUUUGGUGCACUGCUCCCAUAGUAAGUAUCUGCUUAUUCAUGAACUUAUGAAGAUGCUUUAGGAGAAGAGCUUUAUUGUGAGGAGAUAUCCAACACCCCCAAACCACCCUGUUCUUUUGGCUUGCAAAAAGUGCUCCAUGCAAUGAGGGCAGGACCAACACCCUCUUGACCAUACUUCCUCCAGAAGCAUUGUCUGAUGUAAGAAUUAACCUGAUCCACAACAGUGGCAUGAAGUUCCAGAGAGCACAUGAAGAAGGUUGGCAGGCUGGUGAAAACACUCUUGAUAGGUGAAAGCUUUUCUCCUGUUGAAAGCAAGGUGGAGCAACCUGUAAGCCUUCUUUCAAUUCUUUUCAUCAUGGGGAAAAAGUCUUCCACUUUUGGUUUUUUAGUGCCUAGAGGCAGGCCCAGGUAUGUAAACGGAAAAUAACCAAUAUUGCAACCCAAAAUGGCAGCUAGCUGAUCCAAUUUGGCAUGAUCCACAUUGAUUGGAUACAUAGCCAUUUUUGAAAAGUUGAUCCCGAGGCCAGUGUUACCAGAGAAAUGCAAUAACAGGUUUUGAAUUUGCUGUAAUUGUGUUGGACAAUCUGGCAAUAUAACAAUUGUGUCAUCAGCAUAUUGAAUGACAGGAAAAUCUUUGUUGUUGUCCAGAGGAGAGGAAAUCAACUUAUGUUUCAAGGCCUCAUUGAAGAUAGAUUGCAGAAUGUCAGCAGCCAGCACAAAAAUCAAAGGAGAGACUAGAUCCCCCUGUCUCACACCUUUCUUUCACCAAAAUUGCUUUCCUGGUACUCCAUUGAGGAGGACAUCAGAAGUUCCUGAAGAAAAGAUCAUGUCCAUCCAUUUCAUCCAUCUAGGUCCAAAACCUUUUGCUACCAUAAUACUUUUCAGAGUGUGAUGUUCAAUCAUGUCAAAAGCCUUUUCAAAAUCUAAUUUUAGAAUGACAAUUUCUCUUUUGGACUAAUUACGUUGAUGCAAAUAUUCAUAUGCCCAUGCCAAACAAUCUUGGAUUGACCUCUCUUUCAGAAAACCAUAUUGAUUUCUGUGAACAAGUUUCAGAAUAACUUUUUGCAAUCUGUUAGCCAACAACUUUGUGAUAAUCUUGAUGGAGCAAUUUAGGAGUGAAAUGAGUCUGAAAUCACUAGCCUCAAUAGGAGCAUCCUUCUUGGGGAUCAGAGUUAUAGAACAGGAAUUGAUGCUCUGCAGAUCCACUUCACCUUUAAAAAAAAUCCUCAAUCAGUUGGUAGAAAUCUGAAGCAAUGAUGUCCCAACAAGAUUUAACAAAGUUGGUAUUAAACCCAUCUGGCCCAGGGGCUUUAUUUGAGGGAAGAUCUUUUACCACUGCAUCAAUCUCUGUUUUAGUAAAGGGGGUUUCAAGCCAAUGGAGAUCAUCAGAGUUCUCAAUAAGAUUUUCUAGGCCUAGCAGAUUGAAGGUGGGCAUAGAAGUCCCAAGCCUUUAUUUGAAAGCUCUCCAAAGGAUAUUAGCUUUGGCUUGAUGUUCAGAAUGCUCAAUCCCAAACUCAUCUUUGAGAGUAGCAAUGUGGUUGUUUCUGAAUUUAAUGGUGACUUUAACUUUGAGUGAGUUUGUUCCAUCUAAUAGUAGCCCUUUGUUUCCAGUAAGCUUGCUGUGCAGAUAGAAUUUUUAGCAGAUGGUCCUUGAGAAAUUGUCUGAAAUCCCAUUCUAGGGGGUAAGAUCCCUAAAUUCCUCCACAGUAUCAAGAAACAAAAUCACAUCAUUGGAAUUUUGAAUUAGUGAGGCCAAAUUUGAUUUAAUUUUAGCCAAAUCUUGAGCCCUUUCCUAAGUCUCUUAAUUUUGGCAGUAAGUCUCUGAGCACUAUCCUUUCCUUGAACUCCCUGGUUCCAAAUCUGCUGAAUUGUUUCUUUGAAAUCAUGGUGAUUAAGCCAGUAAUUUUAAAAUCUGAAAAUUGUUGAUUUUGGAAUAGCAGUCCCUACUUUAAAUACACAGGGGCAGUGAUCUGAAAUGGGUUUAGCAAGAGGGAUGGCCAAGGUGUUUGGGUAUUGCAGAGUCCAGGAUUCAGAAGAAAAAGCCCAAUCCAGUUUGUCUAAAAGAGGAGCUUGUUGCAUGUUACUCCAAGUGAAGUUUCUACCUUUCAGGGGGAUUUCCACAAGGGCCUGAGCUCUGAUGGCAUCAUUGAAAGAGAGCAUGUCUUGCACAUUACCACCUGCUCUAUUUCUGUUGUCUGAAUAUCUCAUGAAAUUGAAAUCUCCAACCACUAACCAGUCUGUGCUAUCUGUCAUGUAAAUGUUUUUGAACCACUGAAUGAAAUCAACUCUGGCCUCUCCUUGACAGGGAGCAUAGACAUUAGUGAGUACCCAUGAAGCACCCGAGAGGGUGGAGGUAAACUGAAUUGAAAUGGAGAAGACGUUCUGGAAAAGGGUGGUUCCCACAAAAAGGUCACUAUUCCAACCUACAAAUAGUCCUCCUGAUGCACCCACCGAGGGAGAAAAACAAAUUUGUUCAGUCUCCUAGGGCAGAAAUGUUUGACGUACUGGCUGUCAAAAGAUUCUCUCUUAGUUUCUUGUAAGCAGAUAAUAUCACAAUUGGUUUCUGCAAUCUUAUUUGCAAUAGCUAGCCACUUUGCUGGAUCGUUAAUGCCUCUCACAUUCCAAUUGAGGAUAUUCCAAUUUCUAUUAUGCAUUUAGGGAGAUAGAGCUUUAAACACUUUGAGAAGGCCAUAAAAACUGUUUAAUGAUACUGGUACCAUCAACAAAAACAAAUAAUCCAGGAUUCAUACAAGCAUUACAGACUGAUACUGUAGGUUCAAAACUGAAUAAGUGCAUCACUAUUACAGAAGAAGAGCAUCCUGGUAACUAGAAACAAGAAGCUGAACUAAUCCAACUAGUCCUGCUCCUUUGAUCCCUGCCCUUUCCUCUGGGACCUCCUUGUGGGAUCCAAUGCAGGCUUUUGCUUCUUUGUCUUCUUCUGCACAGCAGCAGAAGGGCCAUUAAAUUCCUGAAUUUUUCAAAAGGAGGAACUUAGGUUUCUGACCACUUUGUUAGCAAUUAUAGGUGAUCAGCAUUAUAGGGCGUACAAUCUGUCCAGACAAAGAUUCCUCUUAUAUCCUUUGUUUAUCAACUGCAAUCUUUCACUCCUCCUUACCUCAGAUUUUACCAUGGGUAUCUUUUCCUUCCUCUUCCUGUUAGCAUGCACUGCAGAUGUACUUGAAGGUUGCACAUCAACUGGCAAGGAUGAUCCCUUCCCUUGAGGAGUGGAUAAAACCAGUUUGGGGGCCUCCUCUGCAGUUUCCAUAAUCUACAACUUGCAUGCAGGGGCCUUAUCAGAAGUGCAUUUAUCAGGAAUGACAAAUGGUUUAAAGAGUGUACUUUCAGAGCCUUCCAGAAUAUAUGUCCAUAUUUGGGAGGAGAGUAGAGAUUUUUCCCAUUCAAAUCUAUCAGGUGAGAGUAAGGCAAGAGAUAAAUUUUUUUGUCCACUCUAUGGGCACCUGAACCACCUUGUCUGAAUCUGAGGAGGGAGCAAAAUGCUUGUUCCAGACAGAUGAUCCUUCUUUACCUAAAAUUUGGGUGUCAGUCAUCUCUGGGAGCAUCUUUUGAAAAACAGGAUCUGCAACAUCAGACAUAAAUUGCAUAGCCCCAACUGUGAUAUUAUGUUGCAGUCCCUGGCAGAUAGGAAGAGGGAAGCCUGGGGGUGCCGGAGGAGUAGUACCUUGAUCCUCAGGAAACUUGUCAAAAGAGUGCCCAUGGAUAGCUAGCUCUUGCAAUGCCAUAUGUGUGUUUAAGGAAAGUGCUGCUUGCUGUUCUAAAGGAUUCUCUCUCUGAAUAUCAGAAGAUUCAACAGCUGUGUCAUGAUGUGCAAUGACAUGGCUCUGCAAACCAGGCUGUGAAGCAUGUAGCUCUAAGGAAUCAGUGGCUAAAAUGGCAGUAUGGGCAUCAGCAGUAACUGUUGGGACAACCCUUUGAACAGGCACAGGGGCAGAUGAAGUUGUAACAUCAUCAUUUGCUUGGGAUAUAUUGGCAAGUGAACUGCAACUGGAGAAGAGACAGGUGCAGCAACUUCCGCUAACAUGGCAAUAGGUUCUGCUGAAGCAACUGCAACAUCAACAUGCUGCUUGGCAAUAGGAGGAUUAAUCAUCAGAGGUUGUUCUAAAACUGGCAUAGGCUCCAUCACAUCAGCAGCAAUAGGAAAAAAAUUCAACUUCCUAAGCCAGUGGUACAUUCACAGCCAAAUUCAAAUCAAGUAUAGGUAAAUUCAGAUCUAGUGGGGCCAUAAGAGCUGCAUGAGCAUUGACUGGAGGUCCAUUGUUGAUAGAUUCUGCAGAACUACCAGACUGAGCAGGAAUUGCCAGAGAUAAAGUCACUCCACUCUCAUCAUUUAACUGUGCAGGCAAACAUGCUGCCUUCUCAGUUGGCUGGAGCUUCAUGUGGGUUAUUUUAUUAGGACUUCUAUUUGCCGGGGUUGGAGCUUAUGGAGUGUACAAAUACAGGGCUACUGCCUACCGGCGCUUCACUCCCCGGCAAUGGCGCCAGAAAAGAGUCUUGAUGACCCACAAGUAUA